GGGCCGUUAGCUCAGCGGAUAGAGCAUCCGGCUUCUAACCGGAUUGUCGGGAGUUCGAGUCUCCCACGGCCCU
This 73-nucleotide transfer RNA is filed under the name Chloroflexota bacterium. RNAcentral describes it as "tRNA-Arg". It matches the Rfam family "tRNA". Rfam says of the family: Transfer RNA (tRNA) molecules are approximately 80 nucleotides in length. Their secondary structure includes four short double-helical elements and three loops (D, anti-codon, and T loops). The record is from RNAcentral. Lineage: Bacteria; Bacillati; Chloroflexota.